Molecule: ribosomal RNA, 380 nt
Filed under: uncultured archaeon
Lineage: Archaea
Description: bacterial SSU rRNA
Rfam family: Archaeal small subunit ribosomal RNA
Source: RNAcentral
UAACACCAGCCCCUCGAGUGGUGGGGAUGAUUAUUUGGCCUAAAGUGUCCGUAGCCUGCUUUGUAAGUCUCCCGUUAAAUCCAGCGUCUCAAGCGUUGGUCUGCGAGAGAUACUGCUCAGCUAGAGGGUGGGAGAGGUCAGCGGUAUUCUGGGGGUAGGGGCGAAAUCCUUUGAUCCCCGGAGGACCACCAGUGGCGAAGGCUGCUGUCUAGAACACGCCUGACGGUCAGGGACGAAAGCUGGGGUAGCGAACCGGAUUAGAUACCCGGGUAGUCCCAGCCGUAAACGAUGCAUGCUAGGUGUUGGGUUGGCCACGUGCCACCCCAGUGCCGCAGGGAAGCCGGUAAGCAUGCCGCCUGGGGAGUACGGCCGCAAGGCUG